Molecule: transfer RNA, 69 nt
Filed under: Podarcis lilfordi (Lilford's wall lizard)
Lineage: Eukaryota; Metazoa; Chordata; Lepidosauria; Squamata; Lacertidae
Description: tRNA.Ala
Rfam family: tRNA
About the family: Transfer RNA (tRNA) molecules are approximately 80 nucleotides in length. Their secondary structure includes four short double-helical elements and three loops (D, anti-codon, and T loops).
Source: RNAcentral
GCUGUAGCUCAGUGGUAGAGCAUCUGCUUUGCAUGCAGAAGGCCCCAGGUUCAGUCCCUGGCAUCUCCA